AUGGAGCUGUCCACGCUGCCAUACUACUCGUACCACUUGGCCCUAUGCAUCUUGUUAGCUCUCCUCUACCAUGCCGUCCUACGCGCCGCCGCCACCGCUGCCACCAGGCGUCCCCGCCCGAAGCUGCCUCCCGGUCCAUGGCAGCUUCCGAUCAUCGGCAGCCUGCACCACCUGUUGCGCGGGCUCCCGCACCACAUCAUGCGCGACCUCUCCCUCCGCCAUGGCCCGCUCAUGCUGCUCCGCGUGUGCGAGCGCGAGGCCAUAGUCGUCUCCUCCGCCGAGGCCGCGAGGGAGAUGUACAAGGGUAACGAGGCCGCCUUCUCGACGCGGCUAAGCAGCCCGGGCAUCGACGAGCUCUCCAGGCACGGCCAGGGGAUCGUCUUCGCGCCCUACGGCGACCACUGGCGGCUUCUCCGCCGGAUCCUGGUGACGGAGCUGCUCAGCGCGCGGCGCGUCGAGGCGUUCCGACGGAUCCGCGAGGAGGAGGCGGGGCGCCUGCUUUCGUCGCUUCAGGCUGAGGCGACGUGCGACGGUCGACUCGUCGACAUCGGCAAGCGGCUGGAAGAGUUCGUGACAGACUCGGUGGUGCGUGCCAGCUUU
Molecule: ribosomal RNA, 600 nt
Filed under: Triticum aestivum (bread wheat)
Lineage: Eukaryota; Viridiplantae; Streptophyta; Magnoliopsida; Poales; Poaceae
Description: partial small subunit ribosomal RNA
Source: RNAcentral